RNAcentral lists this microRNA precursor (83 nucleotides) under Arabidopsis thaliana (thale cress). RNAcentral describes it as "MIR5643 microRNA precursor family". It matches the Rfam family "MIR5643 microRNA precursor family". Lineage: Eukaryota; Viridiplantae; Streptophyta; Magnoliopsida; Brassicales; Brassicaceae. The record is from Rfam by way of RNAcentral.
GUGUAGCCGAAGUCCAUAUGAGUCUUUGUCUUUGUAUCUUCUAACAAGGAUACAAUAUAUAGGCUUUUAAGAUCCGGUUGCGG